AUACGUAGGGGGCAAGCGUUGUCCGGAAUUACUGGGCGUAAAGAGCUCGUAGGCGGCUCAGCAAGUCGGUCGUGAAAGCCCGAGGCUCAACCUCGGAACUGCGGUCGAUACUGCUGUGGCUAGAGUCCGGUAGAGGGGAGUGGAAUUCCCGGUGUAGCGGUGGAAUGCGCAGAUAUCGGGAGGAACACCAGUGGCGAAGGCGGCUCUCUGGGCCGGUACUGACGCUGAGGAGCGAAAGCGUGGGGAGCAAACAGGAUUAGAUACCCUAGUAGUCC
RNAcentral lists this ribosomal RNA (275 nucleotides) under uncultured bacterium. RNAcentral describes it as "partial 16S ribosomal RNA". It matches the Rfam family "Bacterial small subunit ribosomal RNA", at positions 523 to 796 of the family's 1533-position model. The record is from RNAcentral.